This 424-nucleotide ribosomal RNA is filed under the name uncultured bacterium. RNAcentral's name for it is "partial 16S ribosomal RNA". It matches the Rfam family "Bacterial small subunit ribosomal RNA", at positions 360 to 776 of the family's 1533-position model. The record is from RNAcentral.
AAUAUUGGACAAUGGGCGAAAGCCUGAUCCAGCCAUGCCGCGUGUGUGAAGAAGGUCUUCGGAUUGUAAAGCACUUUAUGUUGGGAGGAAGGGCAGUAAGUUAAUACCUUUCUGUUUUGACGUUACCGACAGAAUAAGAACCGGCUAACUUCGUGCCAGCAGCCUCGGUAAUACGAAGGGUGCAAGCGUUAAUCGGAAUUACUGGGCGUAAAGCGCGCGUAGGUGGUUUGUUAAGUGGGAAGUGGAAGCGCCGGGCUCAACCUGGGAACUGCUUUCAAAACUGGCAAGCUAGAGUAUGGUAGAGGGUAGUGGAAUUUCCUGUGUAGCGGUGAAAUGCGUAGAUAUAGGAAGGAACAGCAGUGGCGAAGGCGACUACCUGGACUGAUACUGGCACUGAGGUGCGAAAGCGUGGGGAGCAAACAGG